CCUACGGGAGGCAGCAGUAAGGGAUAUUGGUCAAUGGGGGAAACCCUGAACCAGCAACGCCGCGUGAGGGAAGACGGUUUUCGGAUUGUAAACCUCUGUUCUCUGGGAAGAUGAUGACGGUAGCAGGGGAGGAAGCUCUGGCUCAAUAUGUUACAGCAGCGGCGGUAAUACGUAGGGAGCGAGCGUUGUCCGGAUAUAUUGGGCGUGAAGGCUGCGGAGGCGGCUUGGGCAGUAAGUAGUGAAAUGCAUGGGCUUAACCCAUUAACUGCUAUUGAAACUGUCGAGCUUGAGUGAAGUAGAGGUAGGCGGAAUUCCCGGUGUAGCGGUGAAAUGCGUAGAGAUCGGGAGGAACACCAGUGGCGAAGGCGGCCUACUGGGCUUUAACUGACGCUGAGGCACGAAAGCGUGGGUAGCAAACAGGAUUAGAUACCCGAGUAGUC
Molecule: ribosomal RNA, 440 nt
Filed under: uncultured bacterium
Lineage: Bacteria
Description: partial 16S ribosomal RNA
Rfam family: Bacterial small subunit ribosomal RNA
Source: RNAcentral